UACGAAGGGGGCUAGCGUUGCUCGGAAUUACUGGGCGUAAAGGGAGCGUAGGCGGAUAGUUUAGUCAGAGGUGAAAGCCCAGGGCUCAACCUUGGAAUUGCCUUUGAUACUGGCUAUCUUGAGUGUGGGAGAGGUAUGUGGAACUCCGAGUGUAGAGGUGAAAUCCGUAGAUAUUCGGAAGAACACCAGUGGCGAAGGCGACAUACUGGCCCAUUACUGACGCUGAGGCUCGAAAGCGUGGGGAGCAAACAGG
Molecule: ribosomal RNA, 253 nt
Filed under: uncultured bacterium
Lineage: Bacteria
Description: partial 16S ribosomal RNA
Rfam family: Bacterial small subunit ribosomal RNA
Source: RNAcentral